This is a long non-coding RNA of Arvicola amphibius (Eurasian water vole), 1299 nucleotides long. RefSeq lists it as uncharacterized. The record is from RefSeq and is a predicted model, not a curated record. Lineage: Eukaryota; Metazoa; Chordata; Mammalia; Rodentia; Cricetidae. The transcript is spliced from 3 exons.
CCCUGCUUGAGUUCCUGCCCUGGCUUUUCUCAGUGACAGAUUGUUAUCGGAAUACGUAAAUGGACUCUUUGCUCUCCAGGUUGCCUUUGGUCCUAGUCUUUAUAUCAGCUACAGGAUGCAGACGAAGGAAUACAGAACAAUGUUCAAUUCAGUCUUCCCAGGAAAAUGAAGAUGUCUCCCAAGUCGGGUACCCUUGCCUUCCACCUCUGGUUAGUGUUCCAACCACACAAUGCUUCCCAUCCUAGGGUCCAGGUGCAACUGUGCAGGUAGCCAGGAGCCAGCUGUAACCUGAUCUCUGAGCAGCGAUGCCAAGGGCAGGCAGCUCCCACAGCAGCAGGAAGCAACCUUGAGGAAAAAGAGGCCUCUUCAAAAGGCGUGAGUCCUCCUGGGAGCCACAAGCACAAGGACAAAGGACACUAUGCUCUUCUUCCCAUUGUAAACCAGUCCACUAACUGAUGGUUUAUCUGGGUCUGGUAAGAGAGACUUGGAGACUAACAAGAACACCCUUGGCCAGAGUUUACUCUGGCUGGACAGGAGGAGCAGGUCUGCCUAUUCAAAAGUCAGUGUUAGGGCUGGCGAGAUGACUCGGCAGCCUCUUGCUGCCAAACCUGAGCCUUAUCCCAGGAACUCGUGGUAUGAAGACAGAGAAGAGACUCCCACAAGUUGUCCUCAGCCUUGCACACACACACAUAAACUAAAAAUUUAAGUUAGCUUUGGGCUCUCAGAGAUGCCGGCCCUGUGAGCAACAACCACAAUGAGAGGAAGGACUGAAGUGAGCCAGCUUCUGGGGACGUGAGAAGACAAAAAGCUGUGUCCAUGGUUGCAGGGGAGUUCCUCCCUUCCUGCAGUCAUAUAAAGCAGCGAAGAUUGGAAUCUUGGAAAUAUCUCUUACCCCAGAUGAGCCUAAGUUUCUGCAGCUUAGGCUGCAGAAACUGUGGAACCACCCUGGCAUCACCGACAAAGCAUGGUAGAAAAGAGGCUGCAGGGGAGCAUGGCAAAGAGUAUGGUAUCUCUUCCCAUCCUGUUGUAGGAUUUGGGAUUUACCUGAAUUUAAGAUUGCUACCUGCUUCCAAGUCCAGAACACAAUGUGGGACACCUGCUACACUAGCCUAGGCCAUGGAGCCUGACUGAAGAUCCAGAUGUGGUGGGAGCCCCUCAUCUACCCUGUUCUCUGAGGUGCACAGGGUUGUGCGUCCAAAGGCAGACCACACAGGGGGCCUCUCAGGGCAGUUUUGUCAGCUGGAUUAAGAAAUGCCUAUGGCAUCGGUGCAGUGUAACCGAGGGUGUUUGAAGAGAUUA